CGCGUAGGCGGCCACCGCAAGUCAGUUGUGAAAGCUCUGGGCUUAACCCAGAAAGGUCAACUGAUACUGCGGGGCUAGAGUGCAGAAGGGGCAACUGGAAUUCUCGGUGUAGCGGUGAAAUGCGUAGAUAUCGAGAGGAACACCUGUGGCGAAAGCGGCGCACUGGACCACAACUGACGCUGAGGCGCGAAAGCUAGGGGAGCAAACA
Molecule: ribosomal RNA, 208 nt
Filed under: uncultured bacterium
Lineage: Bacteria
Description: partial 16S ribosomal RNA
Rfam family: Bacterial small subunit ribosomal RNA
Source: RNAcentral